Molecule: ribosomal RNA, 253 nt
Filed under: uncultured bacterium
Lineage: Bacteria
Description: partial 16S ribosomal RNA
Rfam family: Bacterial small subunit ribosomal RNA
Source: RNAcentral
UACAGAGGUGGCAAGCGUUGUUCGGAAUUACUGGGCGUAAAGCGUGCGCAGGCGGUUUUGUAAGCCAGAUGUGAAAUCCCCGGGCUUAACCUGGGAAUGGCAUUUGGGACUGCAAGGCUUGAGUGCGGCAGAGGAGACUGGAAUUCCUGGUGUAGCAGUGAAAUGCGUAGAUAUCAGGAGGAAUACCGAUGGCGAAGGCAGGUCUCUGGGCUGACACUGACGCUCAUGCACGAAAGCGUGGGGAGCAAACAGG